AUGGCUGCCAAAAGUCAGGAGAUGCACGCGUGGACUUUGGGCUUAAACAGUGUGGAGCUGUUGGAACCCCAGCAGCCAGCAAGUCUGCCUCGCUACAGUGUGGCCUUCCACUACCAAGUGGAGGCCAGGCUGCCUCCCCAGGAGGCUGCUGGGAGAGCUGCAGUGGACACGCCUAGCAGAGCACACACUCAACACGCCUGGGUUCCCUUCUCCGUGCCUGAGUACCUCCACACGGUGCAGCGAGUGGGCAGCAGAAGGUUCCUUCUGGCAGUGUCCCGUGGAGAGGCAGGUGCUAAGGUGUGCCUGGUCGUGGAGUUCAGCAGAGAAGUUGCUAAACUUCUAGAAGUUCAGUUCAGCAGCUGGAAGUUGCAGAACCUGCCCCUGCCAUGGCAUAUUAGUGUGCUAUUGCUGCAUAACAAAUUAAAGGAUACCACCAGCCACCAAGAUGGCCCUGCCAACAGCACCUUAGUCAUCUGUGAGUUCUCCUCCUCCCACACUCCCUGGGUACAGCCUCCAAGUUCUGCCAAGGCUGNNNNNNNNNNNNNNNNNNNNNNNUCGCCCUACCAGCUAGUGCUGCAGCACAGCCGCCUCCGGGGCCGGCAGCAUGGCCCCAACGUGUGCGCUGUGCAGAAGCUCAUUGGGACCAACAAGAAGUACUUCACCAACUGCAAGCAGUGGUACCAGAGGAAGAUCUGUGGCAAAUCAACAGUCAUCAGCUACGAGUGCUGUCCUGGAUAUGAGAAGGUCCCGGGAGAGAAGGGCUGUCCUGCAGCCCUGCCACUCUCUAACCUGUACGAGACCCUGGGAGUUGUCGGUGCGACCACCACUCAGCUGUACACGGACCGCACAGAGAAGCUGAGGCCCGAGAUGGAAGGACCCGGCAGCUUCACCAUCUUCGCCCCCAGCAACGAGGCCUGGUCCUCCUUGCCAGCUGAAGUGCUGGACUCCCUGGUGAGCAACGUCAACAUUGAGCUGCUCAACGCCCUCCGCUAUCACAUGGUGGACAGACGGGUGCUCACGGACGAGCUGAAACACGGCAUGGCCCUCACCUCCAUGUACCAGAAUUCCAACAUCCAGAUCCACCACUAUCCCAACGGGAUCGUGACCGUCAACUGUGCCCGCCUGCUGAAAGCGGACCACCACGCAACCAAUGGCGUGGUGCAUCUCAUUGAUAAGGUCAUCUCCACCGUCACCAACAACAUCCAGCAGAUCAUUGAAAUCGAGGACACCUUCGAGACCCUGCGGGCUGCCGUGGCUGCAUCGGGGCUCAACACCCUGCUCGAAGGUGACGGCCAGUACACGCUCUUGGCCCCGACCAAUGAGGCCUUCGAGAAGAUCCCUGCUGAGACCCUGAACCGGAUCCUGGGGGACCCAGAGGCCCUGAGAGAUCUGCUCAACAACCACAUCCUGAAAUCGGCCAUGUGUGCCGAAGCCAUUGUGGCAGGGUUGUCCUUGGAGACCCUGGAGGGCACCACACUGGAGGUGGGCUGCAGCGGGGACAUGCUCACAAUCAACGGGAAACCCAUCAUCUCCAAUAAAGACGUCCUGGCCACCAACGGGGUGAUCCACUUCAUCGACGAGCUGCUCAUCCCUGACUCAGCCAAGACGCUAUUUGAGUUGGCUGCAGACUCCGAUGUUUCCACAGCCAUUGACCUUUUCCGACAAGCUGGCCUCAGCUCUCAUCUCUCCGGAAAUGAGCGGUUGACCCUCCUGGCCCCCAUGAAUUCUGUCUUCAAAGAUGGAACCCCUCCGAUUAAUGCCCGGACAAAGAAUUUGCUUCUGAACCACAUGAUUAAAGAUCAGCUGGCCUCCAAGUAUCUGUACCACGGACAGACCCUGGACACUCUGGGCGGCAGGAAACUGAGAGUUUUCGUUUAUCGUAAUAGCCUGUGCAUUGAGAACAGCUGCAUCGCAGCCCAUGACAAGAGGGGGAGAUACGGGACCCUGUUCACCAUGGACCGGAUGCUGACCCCUCCAAUGGGGACUGUCAUGGACGUCCUGAAGGGGGACAAUCGUUUCAGCAUGCUGGUGGCCGCCAUCCAGUCUGCAGGGUUGACCGAGACCCUCAACCGGGAAGGAGUCUACACAGUCUUCGCUCCUACCAAUGAAGCCUUCCAAGCCUUGCCCCGUGGAGAACUGAACAAACUCAUGGGCAAUGCCAAGGAGCUUGCCAACAUCCUGAAAUACCAUGUUGGCGAUGAAAUCCUGGUCAGCGGAGGCAUUGGGGCCCUGGUGCGGCUGAAGUCUCUCCAAGGCGACAAGCUGGAAGUCAGCUCAAAAAACAACGUGGUGAGUGUCAAUAAGGAACCUGUUGCUGAGGUGGACAUUAUGGCCACCAAUGGCGUGGUCCACGCCAUCUCCAGUGUCCUGCAGCCUCCAGCCAACAGACCUCAGGAACGAGGCGACGAACUUGCAGACUCUGCACUUGAAAUCUUCAAACAGGCAUCUGCAUUCUCCAGGGCCACGCAGAGCUCUGUGAAACUAGCCCCUGUCUAUCAGCGGUUGUUAGAGAGGAUGAAGCACUAGUGUGAAGGACCGCAGGAGGAAUGCAUUUCAGCAGCUCCCUGCUGCUUUCUCUCGUUUUGCCAAAGAGACUGAAUGUUUUUGAAACCAAAUGAUCACACUUUGAUGCCCAUGGGUCACACCGUAAUGAGAUCUGAGCCUUGGGAGGGUGGGGGCGGGGGGAGGAGGGAGAGAAAUAGACUUUUCAUUUUUGCCCCCUAAACAUGGCGGUUAGCCCACUGCAGUGCAGAGUCCUGGAUGUCACUGCCUGGCGUUGACUUCCAGCAAGGACCUGUUGGAAUCUCCUGCCUGUGCCAUGUACACUGGAAAAGGAAGCCAAAGUUUCUGAAGCUCACAAAACAUGAAUCAGGCCAUCCGGCGUCACGGGGGCGACCUGGCACGGUGUUUGUAAAGCUCUUUCACAGUUGGAGAAAUGGCAUCCUUAUAAGCUAUGAGUUGAAUGGCUCUGCCAAAUGUUUUUCGCGCCUCCAUGUGGCUUGGACCCUUCUGUGUGACCCUGUCCACCUAGAAAAGAGAGGGCUGGUGAGCACGCGGAGCUCAGGAGUCCCCAGGUGUGGCAGAGCCAUGGUGUGUUUGUAAUAAUAAAACCACAGAAAUAUACACGUACGUGGAUGGGAA
This 3141-nucleotide unclassified non-coding RNA is filed under the name Bos taurus (domestic cattle). Its description in RNAcentral is "similar to Transforming growth factor-beta induced protein IG-H3 precursor (Beta IG-H3) (Kerato-epithelin) (RGD-containing collagen associated protein) (RGD-CAP)". The record is from RNAcentral. Lineage: Eukaryota; Metazoa; Chordata; Mammalia; Artiodactyla; Bovidae.